UCCACAGCUUUCUUGAACUU
This 20-nucleotide microRNA is filed under the name Prunus persica (peach). RNAcentral describes it as "microRNA miRNA_431". Lineage: Eukaryota; Viridiplantae; Streptophyta; Magnoliopsida; Rosales; Rosaceae. The record is from RNAcentral.